AUACAACCGUACAUAGUUCCGUCUAUGUAUUACAAGAUUGGGUUAAAACCCGUAGAGACUACACGCCAAUCUCCAGUUGCAAUGACAGCUGGAUGAAGACAUAGUCCGAUCCUGCGAGUAAUCGCAGA
Molecule: non-coding RNA, 128 nt
Filed under: Parcubacteria group bacterium GW2011_GWF2_50_9
Lineage: Bacteria
Source: RNAcentral